AAAUCGAGAAAAAUCAAGAAAAUCGGUUAAAAAUCGAAUAAAAUAGUGAAAACACGUGCCGGAAGGAGAAGGGCAGCAAAAGGGUAUUGAAAUCUGGAUUUUAUUGCCUAGAGAAGGUCUAAGGAACUUUAAAGAAAACCAAAGUUAUUUUGAUGGAAAAAGGUUUUGAAAUCCAUAUUUAAGAUGUAUAAGAUCACAAAAUAAAAUAAACGAAACAUUAGGAGGAGUAUGAUGUGUGGCAAAGUGGCCAUGCUAGAGUGAGGUUGGGGGUUAUGACCAAGUUUGCACUGUUGGUGAUUGUAGGCGCUGCUGUCAUUUUCUCUGAAUUUUUCCUUCUGCUCUCUCGU
This 347-nucleotide long non-coding RNA is filed under the name Vitis vinifera (wine grape). RNAcentral describes it as "long non-coding RNA (VVIN_LNC000820)". The record is from RNAcentral. Lineage: Eukaryota; Viridiplantae; Streptophyta; Magnoliopsida; Vitales; Vitaceae.